ACAUUUAUAAAGUUUAUCUUCAGUGUGUAUUCUCAUGUGUCUCUCUAAGCCACGAAGUUCACAUUGCUCUUUCUCACACGUGGCAUUUAUAAAGUUUAUCUUCAGUGUGUAUUCUCAUGUGUCUCUCUAAGCCACGAAGUUCACAUUGCUCUUUCUCACACGUUGCAUUUAUAAGGUUUAUCUUCAGUGUGUAUUCUCAUGUGUCUCUCUAAGCCACGAAGUUCACAUUGCUCUUUCUCACACGUUGCAUUUAUAAGAUUUAUCUUCAGAGUGUAUUCUCAUGUAUCUCUCUAAGCCACGAAGUUCACAUAGCUCUUUCUCACAAGUGACAUUUAUAAGGUUUAUUGCCAGUGUGUGUUUCAUGUGUUUCAUUAAGAUUCCAGUCGUCUGGCCAAACCCUUUACCACAUUUAAAACAUUUAAGGUUUAUCUCCAGUGUGUAUUCUCCUGUGCCUAUGUAAAUUUGAACGAUCACUAAACCCUUUA
Long non-coding RNA from Mytilus californianus (California mussel), 485 nucleotides. RefSeq lists it as uncharacterized. The record is from RefSeq and is a predicted model, not a curated record. The transcript is spliced from 4 exons. Lineage: Eukaryota; Metazoa; Mollusca; Bivalvia; Mytilida; Mytilidae.